This 483-nucleotide ribosomal RNA is filed under the name uncultured delta proteobacterium. Its description in RNAcentral is "bacterial SSU rRNA". It matches the Rfam family "Bacterial small subunit ribosomal RNA", at positions 897 to 1382 of the family's 1533-position model. Lineage: Bacteria; Deltaproteobacteria. The record is from RNAcentral.
GAACUUAAAGGAAUUGACGGGGGCCCGCACAAGCGGUGGAGCAUGUGGUUCAAUUCGACGCAACGCGAAGAACCUUACCUGGGCUAGACAACAGUGGACCGUCCUAGAAUAGGACUUUCCCUUCGGGGACCGCUGGUUCAGGUGCUGCAUGGCUGUCGUCAGCUCGUGCCGUGAGGUGUUGGGUUAAGUCCCGCAACGAGCGCAACCCUCGUACUUAGUUGCCACCAUUAAGUUGGGCACUCUAGGUAGACUGCCGGCGUUAAGCCGGAGGAAGGUGGGGACGACGUCAAGUCAUCAUGGCCCUUAUGUCCAGGGCCACACACGUGCUACAAUGGGCGGCACAAAGGGUCGCGAACCCGCGAGGGGGAGCCAAUCCCAAAAGCCGUUCUCAGUUCGGAUUGGAGUCUGCAACUCGACUCCAUGAAGUUGGAAUCGCUAGUAAUCGCGGAUCAGCACGCCGCGGUGAAUACGUUCCCGGGCCUU